AGGACGAACGCUGGCGGCGCGCUUAACACAUGCAAGUCGAGCGAGAACCAGUCUUCGGACUGGGGAAAGCGGCGAACGGGUGAGUAACACGUGGGUAAUCAACCCUUGACACCGGGAUAGCCCGAGGAAACUCGGAUUAAUACCGGAUGGCCCAACAGUCUUUCGGGGCGGUUGGAAAAGGUAGCUUCGGCCUCCGGUCAGGGACGAGCCCGCGGCGGAUUAGCUUGUUGGUGAGGUAACGGCUCACCAAGGCAACGAUCCGUAGCUGGUCUGAGAGGACGAUCAGCCACACUGGGACUGAGACACGGCCCAGACUCCUACGGGAGGCAGCAGUGGGGAAUCUUGCACAAUGGGCGAAAGCCUGAUGCAGCGACGCCGCGCGAGGGAAGAAGGCUUUCGGGUUGUAAACCUCUUUCAGGUGGGACGAAGCUCCUCGGGUUAAUAGCCCAGAGGGUGACGGUACCGCAGAGAAGCCCCGGCUAACUACGUGCCAGCAGCCGC
RNAcentral lists this ribosomal RNA (501 nucleotides) under uncultured bacterium. RNAcentral's name for it is "SSU rRNA". It matches the Rfam family "Bacterial small subunit ribosomal RNA", at positions 26 to 518 of the family's 1533-position model. The record is from RNAcentral.